Molecule: small nuclear RNA, 20 nt
Filed under: Arabidopsis thaliana (thale cress)
Lineage: Eukaryota; Viridiplantae; Streptophyta; Magnoliopsida; Brassicales; Brassicaceae
Description: snRNA_10486
Source: RNAcentral
GAUUGAUUCUCUCGACAAAG